UGGCCUUGGAAUUUUCUUGAUCAUGGA
RNAcentral lists this non-coding RNA (27 nucleotides) under Homo sapiens (human). The record is from RNAcentral. Lineage: Eukaryota; Metazoa; Chordata; Mammalia; Primates; Hominidae.